RNAcentral lists this ribosomal RNA (253 nucleotides) under uncultured bacterium. Its description in RNAcentral is "partial 16S ribosomal RNA". It matches the Rfam family "Bacterial small subunit ribosomal RNA", at positions 524 to 776 of the family's 1533-position model. The record is from RNAcentral.
UACGAAGGGGGCUAGCGUUGCUCGGAAUCACUGGGCGUAAAGCGCAUGCAGGCGGAUUGUUAAGUCGGGGGUGAAAUCCCGAGGCUCAACCUCGGAACUGCCUUCGAUACUGGCAAUCUUGAGUCCGGGAGAGGUGAGUGGAACUGCGAGUGUAGAGGUGAAAUUCGUAGAUAUUCGCAAGAACACCAGUGGCGAAGGCGGCUCACUGGCCCGGUACUGACGCUGAGGUGCGAAAGCGUGGGGAGCAAACAGG